GUUGUAUAGUCAAGUAAUGAAGUGCACAUGGUGGAUGCCUUGGCAGUCAGAGGCGAUGAAAGACGUGACAGCCUGCGAAAAGCGUCGGGGAGGCGGCAAUAUCCUGUGAUCCGGCGAUAUCUGAAUGGGGAAACCCACCUACCAUAAGGUAGGUACCCCGCUAUAUUUUAUAGCGGGGGGCAAACCGGGAGAAGUGAAACAUCUCAGUAACCC
Molecule: ribosomal RNA, 213 nt
Filed under: Salmonella enterica subsp. enterica serovar Enteritidis
Lineage: Bacteria; Pseudomonadati; Pseudomonadota; Gammaproteobacteria; Enterobacterales; Enterobacteriaceae
Description: partial 23S ribosomal RNA
Rfam family: Bacterial large subunit ribosomal RNA
Source: RNAcentral